AUGCAGAACCCUUCCUCAGUUUGAUGGUGUUUUGAGAAACAGAGUUCUGCAACAAAAAGAAUUACCCUUUCUACAGAAGAGCUUUUAUAUAGGCAGCCAUUUAAACACUGAAGUGACGACUUGUUCCACAAGUAUUCUUUGAACUGCCUUCAUCUAAACCACAGAACAAACCACAUUCUUCUUCAGAAAUGCUGAACAUUAUCAGAUGGGUCUACUGCCUUCUGAAGAAAGAGGAAAUGAAACAGCCUCCCGUCCAACAUUCUCUGAGAGAAGAAAAACGACAAGAAAAAUUCCCAGUGAUGGAUAUAAUCAUCCAUACCAUUAAACAAGAUCAAGAUGCCUGCUCUUCCAUCUCCUGCCCUUCUGCUUUAUUUUGGAGAGUAAGCUGCUCAACUUGUUUUAGAAUCAUGUACAUAUUCAUUUUUUUAAAUUAGAGGGACAUCUUUCUUUCUUUCUUUCUUUCUUUCUUUGUUUGUUUGUUUC
Molecule: long non-coding RNA, 483 nt
Filed under: Pogona vitticeps (central bearded dragon)
Lineage: Eukaryota; Metazoa; Chordata; Lepidosauria; Squamata; Agamidae
Description: lncRNA (ENSPVIG00000010804.1)
Source: RNAcentral